UGACACUGCCUGGUGAAAUUCUUCAUAAU
RNAcentral lists this non-coding RNA (29 nucleotides) under Rattus norvegicus (Norway rat). The record is from RNAcentral. Lineage: Eukaryota; Metazoa; Chordata; Mammalia; Rodentia; Muridae.